CUAGCUCCCUGCUCCUUCACCCGCAGCCUUGAAUCUCCCCCUCUAUUUCCCUCCUCGAUCCUCCUGUCCAAUAGAGGCUACCCCCACUCACCGCAGGGCGAUGCAGAAAAUCAGAGGAGGCCACGGGAAGAGAGGGAGGCUCACAGCACACUCAGCUAAGUGAGAGUGCUGUUAACAGUGAGGUCGGGGAAGGUCAGUCUUGUUUUCCUAAUGGCUAAGAGAUGGAGAUCUGGGGACCCUCUUUACUCUGACUGAAGCUUCACCCCAGAAGAUUUUUCUUGAAGACUCUCCGAGUAAAGAGGAGGGACAUGUAAGACACAGGGACCUCUGACCACAUCCCCUCCAUGUCCAGCUUUGCUGCACCAAGAGAGAGAUGUCCACCAAGUCAAUGAGGAGGAUUGCUUUGUGGUUUCUUUGUCCGCAUCAAAUCAUGUGUGACUAGCAGGAGAUUUGCUUGACAUCUCUUUUCACAUAAGAGAGAGAAAUGGAGCACAAGCCAGGGAGGGGCGAGAAAGAGACAGAGACACAGAAUCUGAAGCAGGCUGCAGGGUCUCAGCUGGCAGCACAGAAACCGACACAGGGCUUGAACUCACGAACGCAACCUCCUCAGCAACCACCUUAGGAGGUGGAGGGAGCAUGGAUCCCUGAGUACCGGAUGGAAGAGGACCCUACCAGCCUACAGCAAAUGCUUCAGACUUCCAUUGUGUUGCACCGCUGAGCUUUAGGGGCUUACCUGCUAAGGCAUAAGUUUUGUUUAUCCUAAUUAAUGAAUGUUUGUUGAACUGGUAAAUGAAUAUUCUCUUUGGUCCUUAUAGUAAAUUUAAGGUAGAUUAGUUACUUCCACUUGCCAGAUAAGGAAGGAGAUUCAGAGUUAAGAAGUAACAGAGCCAGAAGUUAAAUUUAUGUCUUCAAAUCCCAUGCUCUUUCGACUAUACCUGGCCGCCUGCAAAAAUACAGUCUCAUGUAUAUUUUAUGUGAAAUUUAGCAAAAGUUACCUCAGUGUAAUCGAGGUUAGGGACUUUCCAAAUGAGAGGGUCCCCUGGUCGUCACUGCUGUCAGGACAGGGUUGUCAUCUUGGAUGCAGUCAAGGCCUCCUGAAUCCAAGCACCUGAAAGAAGAGCCUUGGUCA
Molecule: long non-coding RNA, 1129 nt
Organism: Neofelis nebulosa (Clouded leopard)
Lineage: Eukaryota; Metazoa; Chordata; Mammalia; Carnivora; Felidae
Exons: 4
Source: RefSeq, a predicted model, not a curated record